This 1275-nucleotide ribosomal RNA is filed under the name uncultured rumen bacterium. RNAcentral's name for it is "bacterial SSU rRNA". It matches the Rfam family "Bacterial small subunit ribosomal RNA", at positions 44 to 1342 of the family's 1533-position model. The record is from RNAcentral.
GUGGAUUAGGCAUGCAAGUCGAACGGGAUCGUCCGGUUAGCAAUAAUUGGGCGUGAGAGUGGCGGAUUGGGGAGGAACACGUGAGCAACCUGCCCUUGGGUUGGGGAAAACCGCGGGAAACUGCGGCUAAUACCGGAUGCGGCGCCCGGCGACAUCGUCGGAGCGCUAAAGGGGGCCGCAAGGCUCCCGCCCGAGGAGGGGCUCGCGCACCAUCAGCUAGUUGGCGGGGUAACGGCCCACCAAGGCCUACGGUUAGCUGGUCUGAGAGGAUGGCCAGCCCCACUGGGACUGAGAUACUGCCCAGACUCCUACGGGAGGCUGCAGUCGAGGAUCAUUUGCAAUGGGCGAAAGCCUGACAAUGCGACGCUGCGUGGAGGAUGAAGGCCUUCGGGUUGUAAACUCCUGUCAUGGGGGAACAGGCGAGGGGGCCCAACACGUCCCUUAGUUGAGUGUACCCCAAGAGGAAUUGGCGGCUAACUCUGUGCCAGCAGCCGCGGUAAUACAGAGGCCAAGAGCGUUGUUCGGAUUUACUGGGCGUAAAGGGCGCGUAGGCGGCGAGGCGUGUCGGAUGUGAAAUCUCCGGGCUCAACCCGGAAAGUGCGUCCGAAACUACCUUGCUGGAGUCCGGGAGGGGGAAUCGGAAUGCAGGGUGUAGCGGUGAAAUGCGUUGAUAUCCUGCAGAACACCGGAGGCGAAGGCGGAUUCCUUGAACGGUACUGACGCUGAGGCGCGAAAGUCGGGGGAGCAAACAGGAUUAGAUACCCUGGUAGUCCCGACCUUAAACGGUGCACGCUAGGGGGUGGGGCCCAUUCACCGGCCCCGUCUCUGAGCUAACGCGUUAAGCGUGCCGCCUGGGGAGUACGGCCGCAAGGCUAAAACUCAAAGAAAUUGACGGGGGCCCGCACAAGCAGAGGAGCAUGUGGCUUAAUUCGAUGCAACGCGAAGAACCUUACCUGGGCUUGACAUGGAGCUGCACGUCCCGUGAAAGCGGGACUCCUUCGAGGGUGCUUCACAGUGCUGCAUGGCUGUCGUCAGUUCGUGCCGUGAGUGUUUGGUUAAGUCCACCAACGAACGCAACCCCUUUGGGAUGUUGCCGCGGGUAAAGCCGGGAACUCGUUCCAGACUGCUUGUUCCGCAGAAGAAAGUUGGGAUGAAGUCAGUCAGAUGCCUUACGCCCAGCUGCACUGCUCAAUGGCGGUACAAAGGAUGCAAGCCCAGGCGACGACCAAAACCGCAGUCAAUCGGCUGACGACCCUGAUCGAAUUGUCUAGUAGA